This 502-nucleotide ribosomal RNA is filed under the name uncultured bacterium. RNAcentral describes it as "partial 16S ribosomal RNA". It matches the Rfam family "Bacterial small subunit ribosomal RNA", at positions 30 to 523 of the family's 1533-position model. The record is from RNAcentral.
AUUGAACGCUGGCGGAAUGCUUUACACAUGCAAGUCGAACGGCAGCACGGGAGCUUGCUCCUGGUGGCGAGUGGCGAACGGGUGAGUAAUAUAUCGGAACGUAUCCAAUAAUGGGGGAUAACUAGUCGAAAGAUUAGCUAAUACCGCACACGCCCUGAGGGGGAAAGCUGGGGAUCUUCGGACCUAGCGUCAAUGGAGCGGCCGAUAUCUGAUUAGCUAGUAGGUGAGGUAAAAGCUCACCUAGGCGACGAUCAGUAGCUGGUAUGAGAGGACGACCAGCCACACUGGAACUGAGACACGGUCCAGAGUCCUACGGGAGGCAGCAGUGGGGAAUUUUGGACAAUGGGCGCAAGCCUGAUCCAGCCAUUCCGCGUGAGUGAAGAAGGCCUUCGGGUUGUAAAGCUCUUUCAGACGGAAAGAAAUCUUCUGGGUGAAUAUCCCGGGAGGAUGACGGUACCGUAAGAAGAAGCACCGGCUAACUACGUGCCAGCCGCCGCCGUAA